RNAcentral lists this transfer RNA (70 nucleotides) under Naesiotus nux. RNAcentral describes it as "tRNA-Glu". Lineage: Eukaryota; Metazoa; Mollusca; Gastropoda; Stylommatophora; Orthalicidae. The record is from RNAcentral.
GUUUUAGUAGUAAAUUAUAUAUUACUCCAUCUUUUCAAGAUGGCAUAGUUCUUCUUUUGAAUCUAAAAUA